Molecule: long non-coding RNA, 465 nt
Organism: Portunus trituberculatus (swimming crab)
Lineage: Eukaryota; Metazoa; Arthropoda; Malacostraca; Decapoda; Portunidae
Exons: 2
Source: RefSeq, a predicted model, not a curated record
AGUGAACUUCGCUUCUUUCGAGAUGUUCUUGAGGAAACACCUAAUCUCCUUAAAAAUGUUAAAUUCAUAGCAAUGGAGGUGCACAUUGGGGGAAAAAUCACAGAAAUUGGGAGAAGCCACAGGUUAUUCUGGAAAUACUUUCAACUAUUGGACUGUUUUGGCUUCAAGGUAAUGUACAGUGCUAUCAAUCCUUUCUCUGGUGGAAGAGUGGUGAAUGGGAGACACCGCUCCUGCUGUUAUGAAAUAGUGUGGGUUCAAGACCGUAGCUGGUAAUGUCCACAAUUCCUUGCUUUCAUUCACUCUCAUUGCUGGAGAUAAUCAAAUUACAAGAAUAGAGUUUGUAAAAUUCAGUCAGAUGCUCCAAUCUUCAAUGAGUUACAAGAAACGUCCUGCAUUUUAUUAGUUUUUUUUUUUAUUUAAAUCAAGAUAAGUAUUGUUACUAUACAUUAAACACUUAAGACCGUA